ACACGUUGCGACUUGCGAGUGUCGGUGGUGUCGGACUGUCGGUUAAGAGGCGUACACAUCAAGAAUUCGUGGUAGUGAAACAGCAAUGCAAAGCACCGCGUGUGAAUUGUCCUUAGAGAGAAGAAAAAAAUUUCACACAGUUAGUAAGAUAUGACAACACAAAGUUGAAGAAUUUACUAAUUUAGCCCUGACUGCUGGAGUGGAGUGGCGCCAAUUUGCUGUUAGCCCCUUUUGUGAUGUCAUGGUGAUGUGUUCAAUGUCAAGUAAUGCAUAUUAAUAGCUGGACCUGCUGGACCCUGACAAAUUAUUACUCGCACUUGAGAACAGGCUGGUAAAUUCUGAGCUUCUGAGUGUCAGUCAAAGGCGCUAUGUGCAGAUUGUUUUGUUGCUGCCAGCCAGUGAUAGGUGUUCUUCUUGCUACCUUUACCAGCUGUAUGUUUCGUAAUCGCCGAAAUGUCGGCGAUUGUUAGCUGUAUCUAUUCGGCUCUACGGCUCAUCUCGUGCAUUAUCACUAAAGAGCUUGUUAAUUCAGAGACAGAGAUCCCUUUGCACAACUGUUGCAGAAAUUGAAAACACAACAAAGUCUGAGCUUCAUGGCUGUCAUUCAUUUAACAUGGUUUUGUUGCAGCCAGCUGGUGAAAGGUGUGAUCGAGUCAAGUUGAGCUGCUGCAUGCAGUUUAUUGAGCUGGUGUUAUCUGAAGUGUCACUGCAGGAAGACUUCUUGAAUUGGAUUUCGUGGUUGGUUUGAUGUUUAUGGUGUUGCUGUUUUGUGUACAGUGGUUUUGCAGCCCCUUUCCAAUUGAGAGAUGCUCUGAAAUGGAGUUUGGUGGAGACUUGCAGUUCAACAUAACACUUAAAUGUGUCAUUUGCCUAUGUUGGUGUCCAUGCAGUAAAUGCAGUAUUGAACAGUUGGGUAACAUGAUUUUCUUCUCUGACCGCAGGUGCAAGGAUUACGUGUUUGAAACUUAGAUAAGUUUGCAGUAGAAUAUUUUCAAAAAAAGCCGACUCUCCUUCAUCAAACGGUUCGAAAUACCCAUCCCCAGCAACGUCAACCUACAGAAAGAAAAAGGCUAGUUUCUAUGGCCUUGAAGUUCGCGGUGAUCAUUACGCAAAACGUGUCAUGCAGUGGUGUAGAGGUUGGGUGAGAACGACACGUGUUGCAUUAUCAAAAAGGUCCAACAGCCGCAAGGCUUAGGAGGUGAGGGUGAGGAAAAAAUCGUAUAAAAGGAGAGAGAAAAGGCGAUUGAAACCAGUCGAGUGAGCAUCUCCGACACGGCAACAACUCCAUUCUUCUUCGUAAUAUCAGUUCGCAAUCAUGGUUAAUUAUGGCGGUGUGUUGCUGCCGGGUGUUGUAUCGUUGAUGUCGACUACGAGAGAAAAUUGUAUAAAAGGUAAGAGAAAAGGCGACAGAAGUCAAUCAAGUGAGCAUCUCCGACCCGUCAACAACUGCAUUCUUCGUCGUAUUAACAGGUCGCAUUCGCAAUCACGGUUAACUAUGGCGUCGUGCAGCUAUUGGUUGUUUCGUCGAUUUCUGGGUCGACCACUGGUGUGCUGAUGCCCCUGGGUAUGGCGGAUACCAAACCGCAACGCCUUCGCCUUACUACACUACAGCAAACGCAACGACCAGUUACUACACUGAGGUUGCACAGUUAGGUUUACAGUUACACCACCAAGGGUCCAGGUACACCAUAACUUGUGCUACUCCGAGCUACUACACCGAAGACCAGAAGUUUUAUUCUUCCCCGGGCUACACUACCAAAUCGCAUGUGCACACCCCCAAGGCUCGGAAGUACUAAACCCCCAAGGCACCUGAGACUACACUGUAACUACGUAUGCUGUCCCAAGUAGUACACCAAGGCUCCAAAGUACUGCAGCACUAAGGCACUGGACUAUUACACGACUAUACAUGCUGCUCAACCUACGACACCGAGGCUCCAGCUUAUUACACCACCAAAGGGGUCGAACACAGUAGCGCCCAAGUACGUAGCAUCUCCGACACCGAACACGGCAGCCCCGAAGUUUCGAAUAAUCUUCGUUUCAAACAGUGGAACGACAAAGAGUGAGGCAAAGAUACCGGCGGCGUAGCAUUCGUACGUGUACACCGCUUUAAACUUGACAUUGUUGGUCGGAAAGCCGAACUUGACGAUGGCCGUACCAUCACCUACGACAAGUGCGUUAUUGCCACAGGUGGUAUGUCUUUUCCGAUCCCUGAGCGGUGCCCUCAAAGAUGCCCACGAGCACGUAACGCUGUUCCGCAACAUCGAUGGCGGUAACAUAGGCCGAGUCCUCCCUAAAUAUUUGAGCCAAUGGACUUCCGAGAAGGCUGGAGAUGUUGCGUUCUUUUGUGAUAUCAAAUUGGGUCGUCGUCGGAUGGAACAUCACCACUUUGCUGUUGUAUCAGGGCGAUUGGCUGGAGAGAACAAUACUGGCAACGAAACAUGGAUGAACAACUGCAGUGCACUGUCACCAAGUGCAUUCUUCGUCGUAUUAUCAGUACGCAAUCGGUGUCGUGCUGUUGCCGUUUGUCGUAUCGUUGAAGGUUGGGUCGAUCACUGGUGUAUCCAUGUCUCCUGGGUAUGGCGGAUACCAAAGCACCACGCCGUCGCCUUGCUACACAAC
RNAcentral lists this unclassified non-coding RNA (2619 nucleotides) under Daphnia pulex (common water flea). RNAcentral's name for it is "uncharacterized LOC124195516, transcript variant X9". The record is from RNAcentral. Lineage: Eukaryota; Metazoa; Arthropoda; Branchiopoda; Diplostraca; Daphniidae.